UAUCCGGAUUUACUGGGUGUAAAGGGAGCGCAGACGGCGAUGCAAGUCUGGAGUGAAAGCCCGGGGCUCAACCCCGGGACUGCUUUGGAAACUGUAUGGCUAGAGUGCUGGAGAGGCAAGCGGAAUUCCUAGUGUAGCGGUGAAAUGCGUAGAUAUUAGGAAGAACACCAGUGGCGAAGGCGGCUUGCUGGACAGUAACUGACGUUCAGGCUCGAAAGCGUGGGGAGCAAAC
Molecule: ribosomal RNA, 232 nt
Filed under: uncultured bacterium
Lineage: Bacteria
Description: partial 16S ribosomal RNA
Rfam family: Bacterial small subunit ribosomal RNA
Source: RNAcentral